UACGUAGGGUGCGAGCGUUAAUCGGAAUUACUGGGCGUAAAGCGUGCGCAGGCGGUUAUGUAAGACAGGGGUGAAAUCCCCGGGCUUAACCUGGGAACUGCAUUUGUGACUGCAUAGCUAGAGUACGGUAGAGGGGGAUGGAAUUCCGCGUGUAGCAGUGAAAUGCGUAGAGAUGUGGAGGAAUACCGAUGGCGAAGGCAGCCCCCUGGGAUAACACUGACGCUCAUGCACGAAAGCGUGGGGAGCAAACAGG
Molecule: ribosomal RNA, 253 nt
Filed under: uncultured bacterium
Lineage: Bacteria
Description: partial 16S ribosomal RNA
Rfam family: Bacterial small subunit ribosomal RNA
Source: RNAcentral